Molecule: unclassified non-coding RNA, 217 nt
Filed under: soil metagenome
Description: partial contains 5.8S ribosomal RNA, internal transcribed spacer 2, and large subunit ribosomal RNA
Source: RNAcentral
AACCUUAUGGACCUGCGGGCGUAUACCUGCGGAAGGAUCAUUACAGAGUUAUCCAACUCCCAAACCCAUGUGAACUUAUCUCUUUGUUGCCUCGGCGCAAGCUACCCGGGACCCCGCGCCCCGGGCGGCCCGCCGGCGGACAAACCAAAACUCUUGUUAUCUUAGUUGAUUCUCUGAGCGUCUUAUUUAAUAAGUCAAAACUUUCAACAACGGAUCU